RNAcentral lists this long non-coding RNA (1583 nucleotides) under Salvia miltiorrhiza (redroot sage). Its description in RNAcentral is "long non-coding RNA (SMIL_LNC008009)". The record is from RNAcentral. Lineage: Eukaryota; Viridiplantae; Streptophyta; Magnoliopsida; Lamiales; Lamiaceae.
CAACUAAAAGUCAUGAUUUUAUUUUAAAAUAUUUGUUUACAUCAUAUUGGCACAUUAUUUACAGUUAAUUGCCAAAUAACACAUGGCUUUUCUACUAAUUUUGCAAUUUUAAAAGCGAUCUUUGAGACCUUUCAAUAAGGACUUAAGAUUUCGACUUGUAGCAAAUUCAUUACUCCUAGUUUUCCCAACAAACAAAAGGUUGAUGUGGCACAAGAAUUUCGUUUUUUGAUGACGUGGAAAGUUUUUUCUACCUCAUGAUAAAUGAUGUCAUUUUGUUCAUAAACACAAAAAUAAAUAAAACUAAAAAUAAAAAUUUAUAUUUGUUUCUUUCUCUCUACACCUAAAAGUUGUACUCCUUUGAAUCCAUAAAAUCAUCGUUUAACGCCUGUUAACAUCUACAAGUGGUCUUUGGCUUUGCGAUCGCCACAUCGAAAGGGACGGUAAAUGGGGAUAUCAAUCCAAUUUGAAACCAAUAGGUUUUUCCAGAUAGUCCUAAAAGAGGAGGGUUGAAGGCCAAAAUUUUCUAGCUUGAAAAUAAUUCAGUCAGAUUUGUCCGCAAUUACCCGACAUUCGCAACUCAGAAUUCAUGUAGGUUGGCCCUAGGGAUGUCAUCCGGUUCGAAACCGAGGAAAUGGCCCAAUAAUAGAAUGAGUUAGGCUUGAUUGACAUCCCUAAUGGUAAAUCUAUUGCUUAAUUAGCCAAAACUUUUUAAUGUACAUCAGCUGGAAGUGGCUGUUUUGGCCAUGAAUGGUAGCGACCUAAAGGGCAAAGCGUGGCUGUUUUGGCCAUGAAUGGUAGCGACCUAAAGGGCAAAGCCACCACCUUACCGAGCAACAAUCGAUCAUUGUAUGGUGAUCACUAUGGAUGUCAGCUUGUCGAAGUGGCAAAAACUUAUGUUACACAUUCGCGGAAUUACUUCGUUUUUGUUUCACAUGAUUUUUUUGAUUGUUGGAAAAAUUGGGAGCGACGAUUUUGCUAUAAAUACAAAAUUUUAGGUCCUUAUGAAACAUAUCAAAGAUUGUGUCAAAAUUGCAAAUCUGUUGAAAAGUUGGCAUAAUUUGUCAAUUAACCUUUGUAUUUAUUCAAACAUAAGUUGAAAUUAUAGACGAAUAUAGUAGGUUUUGUAAAGUGUAACUUUUUAUGUCACAAUAUUAUGAACAUAUAGUUCUUUUAUUGUAAAAUUGUUAUAAUGUCAUAGCACAUUGUAUCUUUACUAAUGUAAUUUUAUGAUAAAUAGUUGAUCUCUUGUAUAUUAACUCCAUCAUGACUACUAUACAUUAUGCAUGGAGAUGAUUGAUCAACACAAUGUCUAUGUCAAAUAUGUGUUGAACAUCCAAACUCUAAAAUAUUGUAUAGAUUCAUUGUACUUUAACUCCUUACCGCUAGUAAAAAAGCAUGAUGUAUAUUUUCUCAAGUCAAGCUCAUUUAGUGAAACUCAUUAACUAAAUAAGUAGCUCAAGCUUGAUAUCACUUGAUUAACUAACUCGUGAGCAAGUUCAUUAUUCUAAUUAGAUGGGAAAAAAUUAUUUACUUGGUAUGGCUUGUUUACUUGUAUUUUAAUUUGUAAUAAUAAUAAAUUCUAG